RNAcentral lists this ribosomal RNA (244 nucleotides) under Plasmodium inui. RNAcentral describes it as "partial small subunit ribosomal RNA". The stretch from base 41 to 244 matches the Rfam family "Eukaryotic small subunit ribosomal RNA", at positions 731 to 925 of the family's 1831-position model. The record is from RNAcentral. Lineage: Eukaryota; Apicomplexa; Aconoidasida; Haemosporida; Plasmodiidae.
UCUUUUAAUUAAAAUGAUUCUUUUUAAGAUCUUCUUUUUUCUUCGGCAUUUGGAGAUCUUGUUACUUUGAGUAAAUUAGAGUGUUCAAAGCAAACAGAUAUAGCAUUUGCGUUUGAAUACUACAGCAUGGAAUAACAAAAUUGAACAAGUCAGAAUUUUGUUCUUUUUAUUUUGGCUUAGUUACGAUUAAUAGGAGUAGCUUGGGGGCAUUUGUAUUCAGAUGUCAGAGGUGAAAUUCUUAGAU